Molecule: ribosomal RNA, 252 nt
Filed under: uncultured bacterium
Lineage: Bacteria
Description: partial 16S ribosomal RNA
Rfam family: Bacterial small subunit ribosomal RNA
Source: RNAcentral
UACGUAGGUCCCGAGCGUUGUCCGGAUUUAUUGGGCGUAAAGCGAGCGCAGGUGGUUUAUUAAGUCUGGUGUAAAAGGCAGUGGCUCAACCAUUGUAUGCAUUGGAAACUGAUAGACUUGAGUGCAGGAGAGGAGAGUGGAAUUCCAUGUGUAGCGGUGAAAUGCGUAGAUAUAUGGAGGAACACCGGUGGCGAAAGCGGCUCUCUGGCCUGUAACUGACACUGAGGCUCGGAAGCGUGGGGAGCAAACAGG